RNAcentral lists this ribosomal RNA (271 nucleotides) under uncultured bacterium. RNAcentral describes it as "partial 16S ribosomal RNA". It matches the Rfam family "Bacterial small subunit ribosomal RNA", at positions 524 to 794 of the family's 1533-position model. The record is from RNAcentral.
UACGUAGGUGGCAAGCGUUGUCCGGAUUUAUUGGGCGUAAAGAGCGUGUAGGCGGCCAGACAGGUCCGUUGUGAAAACUAGAGGCUUAACCUCUAGACGUCGAUGGAAACCGUUUGGCUAGAGUCCGGAAGAGGAGAAUGGAAUUCCUGGUGUAGCGGUGAAAUGCGCAGAUAUCAGGAAGAACACCCGUGGCUAAGGCGGUUCUCUGGGACGGUACUGACGCUGAGACGCGAAAGCGUGGGGAGCGAACAGGAUUAGAAACCCUAGUAGU